ACAAGCCUGAGAAACGGCUAGUAGGACUAAGGUCUGCAGCAGGCGCGAAACUUACACAAUGCUAGAUUAAAAUUAGCGAUGUAGUGAAGAAAAAUAACGAUGUACUUACAUUUAAACAUGUUAGUACAAUUGGAAUGAGACGACUUUAAAACAGUUUGUCGAGUAACAAAUGGAGGGCAAGUCUGGUGCCAGCAGCCGCGGUAAUUCCAGCUCCAUUAGCAUACAUUAAAAUUGUUGCGGUUAAAAAGCUCGUAGUUGAAUUUUAGGCGAGCUUUAUUUGGUUGCGGUCGUUAAAGGUUUAUAUAUCUUUAUAGAUAUUAAACUGACCGUAUCUACCAGUUAGAAACUCGCUGUUUCGUCACUUAAUCGAGUGCGAAGCGGGCUGGAACAAGAUAUUUCACUUCUUAGUGUAUAUAUCUGUCUCAGUAUGUUUACCUUGAGAAAAUUAGAGUGCUCACAGCAAGCAGUUUGGAUGUAAAAGUUCAUUUAUGCUUGAAUAAUGUUGCAUGGAAUAAUAGAAUACGGCCUCGGUUCUAUUCUGUUGGUCUUAUAGAACAACAAACAAGUUGGUAUAGUUGUAAUUAAACGGAUUUUGUUGCCAUGAACCUUAAAAAUUCAUGAGCCCCAAUCUAUAUAACUUCCAACUGAGGCAAUGGUUAAAAGAAAUAGUUGCGGCGGCAUCAGUACUGCAUCGUGAGAG
This 700-nucleotide ribosomal RNA is filed under the name Cecidophyes hirsutes. RNAcentral describes it as "bacterial SSU rRNA". It matches the Rfam family "Eukaryotic small subunit ribosomal RNA", at positions 389 to 910 of the family's 1831-position model. Lineage: Eukaryota; Metazoa; Arthropoda; Arachnida; Trombidiformes; Eriophyidae. The record is from RNAcentral.